GUCUAAAUGCUGUUUUUAUUACCUCUUUGACCAUAGGAAAAUUAAUUUCUGGUUCUAAGUCUCAGUUUCUUGAUUUGUGAAAGGAGGUGAUGCUAUAACUGAGAUCUUUUACAAGCUUUAAACCAAUCAUGUUUUGUUGUAUUAUUUCUCUAUAUAGUAGGCAUAAAAAAGCAAUGGACUCUUUGUUAUUUAUAUUUUUUAUAGCCACUCAAGAAACCUAUUCAUGUUGCUGAUGUUUAAAUUUUUUUUCUGAAAUAAAUUGUCAUCAGAUUAUGGGACUUCAUACAUCAAACUCAAUUUACAGCCUGGCAUCACCACAGUGAUUGACAACUUCUACAUAUGCCCUACAAACAAGAGAAAGACAACAGGAGUCAUCACUUCACAACAAGAUCAGACUGCUUUUGCAUCAAGGAAAGCCAGCCACUGUCUUUUUCAACUUUCCUCAGUAUCUUUCCCUUUCAGUCAAUUAAAAGUACAUUUCAAGAACUUUGCAUGUACUGUCCGGCUUUUGAACAAAUAGUAACUCAUAGUUUUAGGCUUACAAAGUAUUUUCUCCUCAGUACUCCUAUUACAUAUUUAAUGUUGUAUAAUAUUAUUCUUCCGAUAUUAAAGAUGGGAAACUGAGGCUGAGAGAUUAUGACACCUUUGGGUGAUGAAAACCCAUCAGUAGUGGAGCUAGAAUUCAGAUUCUCUGAACCCAAAACUCCGGAUUCAAAAUCUAGAGUUGUUUUUUUUUCCUGUUCCUCUGAGACAGCUGGGGAUAAAGGAGUGGUGGAGAGGAUUUUGCAUAUAUUUAGCCUACCAUAUUACUUUCUGAUCUCUUUAGUGUAAAAUCCUGACAUUAUUUAGCCCUGGAUUCCGCCCCCCCCCCAAAAAAAAACACAACCACCUCAAAGCUGCUUUAAAUUUUUUUAUAGUUUUAAUACUUCUUUUCCUUUUCUUCUCUACUUUUAAAUGAUGAAUUAUCAGAGUUGAAACAUAUUUAAUUAUAUUAAUUAAUUCAUUAAUAAUAAAUAAAAAUGAAAGCAUUUAAUUCA
Molecule: long non-coding RNA, 1037 nt
Filed under: Monodelphis domestica (gray short-tailed opossum)
Lineage: Eukaryota; Metazoa; Chordata; Mammalia; Didelphimorphia; Didelphidae
Description: lncRNA (ENSMODG00000043986.1)
Source: RNAcentral